AUUGAACGCUGGCGGCAGGCCUAACACAUGCAAGUCGAACGGUAACAGAAAGUAGCUUGCUACUUUGCUGACGAGUGGCGGACGGGUGAGUAAUGUCUGGGGAUCUGCCUGAUGGAGGGGGAUAACUACUGGAAACGGUAGCUAAUACCGCAUAAUGUCGCAAGACCAAAGCGGGGGACUUUCGGGCCUCACACCAUCAGAUGAACCCAGAUGGGAUUAGCUAGUAGGUAAGGUAAUGGCUUACCUAGGCGACGAUCCCUAGCUGGUCUGAGAGGAUGACCAGCCACACUGGAACUGAGACACGGUCCAGACUCCUACGGGAGGCAGCAGUGGGGAAUAUUGCACAAUGGGCGCAAGCCUGAUGCAGCCAUGCCGCGUGUAUGAAGAAGGCCUUCGGGUUGUAAAGUACUUUCAGUCAGGAGGAAGGGUGUGAAAUUAAUACUUUCAUGCAUUGACGUUACUGACAGAAGAAGCACCGGCUAACUCCGUGCCAGCAGCCGCGGUAA
This 506-nucleotide ribosomal RNA is filed under the name uncultured bacterium. RNAcentral describes it as "partial 16S ribosomal RNA". It matches the Rfam family "Bacterial small subunit ribosomal RNA", at positions 30 to 523 of the family's 1533-position model. The record is from RNAcentral.